Molecule: transfer RNA, 64 nt
Filed under: Cavia porcellus (domestic guinea pig)
Lineage: Eukaryota; Metazoa; Chordata; Mammalia; Rodentia; Caviidae
Rfam family: tRNA
About the family: Transfer RNA (tRNA) molecules are approximately 80 nucleotides in length. Their secondary structure includes four short double-helical elements and three loops (D, anti-codon, and T loops).
Source: Rfam by way of RNAcentral
AGGGAUUUAGCUUAGCGGCAUAAGCACCUGCCUGGCAAGCACGUGGUCGUGAGUCUAAUCCCCA